AUGAGGGGCCUCCGCUCCCCAUGCAUUCGUGCAAGCCUGCGUGCACCCAAGGGUCAAGGGGGGUCACCCCCGCAGUGGGGUUCACUCUCCCCGAGGUCUCCCCAGAGACAAAGGCCCCAGUCCCUCCCGNCCCGCCCCGCCCCCCCUUACCAGGGUUUUGGCUACGUUCCCCCUCUGGGUGAUGUUUUUGCUGUGCUUCUCGUUGGCCAUCCGGAUCCGCUGCUUGGCCACCAUGGCUGGGCGCUAGCCCCCGGCACGAGCCCCCGCGACCGCGACCCGGCGGCGGGCGACAGCGACAGCGACAGGGACAGGGCGGCCGCGGGCGCUGCAGGUGGCAGAUUUUAUUUAUUUAUUCAUGAGACAGAGAGAGGGAGAGGCAGGCUCCAUGCAGGGAGCCCGACGUGGGACUCCAUCCCUGGACUCCAGGAUCACACCAUGGGGCCAAAAGCAAGUGCUAAACUACUGAGCCACCCAGGGAUCCCCCCUGAAACCCGUUCUUAACUGAGAAGCCUGCCUUCCCACAGGCUCAGGGGUGCUAAAGCACCGGACCCACUAUCCUUGCCUGUCUCGAUUGUUGGGACUCUUAGGCCAGACUCCACCAGCCGCCGGCCCAGAGAAAGAGUUUGCAGUGGAGAACCACAGAAGGCCCAGCCACGGCGCUAGCAAACUGGUAAAUAAAAUACAUUAUUUUUAUACCUACCA
This 702-nucleotide long non-coding RNA is filed under the name Vulpes vulpes (red fox). RNAcentral describes it as "lncRNA (ENSVVUG00000028456.1)". Lineage: Eukaryota; Metazoa; Chordata; Mammalia; Carnivora; Canidae. The record is from RNAcentral.